GAUGAACGCUGGCGGCGUGCCUAAUACAUGCAAGUCGAGCGAACAGACGAGGAGCUUGCUCCUCUGACGUUAGCGGCGGACGGGUGAGUAACACGUGGAUAACCUACCUAUAAGACUGGGAUAACUUCGGGAAACCGGAGCUAAUACCGGAUAAUAUAUUGAACCGCAUGGUUCAAUAGUGAAAGACGGUUUUGCUGUCACUUAUAGAUGGAUCCGCGCCGCAUUAGCUAGUUGGUAAGGUAACGGCUUACCAAGGCAACGAUGCGUAGCCGACCUGAGAGGGUGAUCGGCCACACUGGAACUGAGACACGGUCCAGACUCCUACGGGAGGCAGCAGUAGGGAAUCUUCAGCAAUGGGCGAAAGCCUGACGGAGCAACGCCGCGUGAGUGAUGAAGGUCUUCGGAUCGUAAAACUCUGUUAUUAGGGAAGAACAAAUGUGUAAGUAACUAUGCACGUAUUGACGGUACCUAAUCAGAAAGCCACGGCUAACUACGUG
This 497-nucleotide ribosomal RNA is filed under the name uncultured bacterium. RNAcentral describes it as "partial 16S ribosomal RNA". It matches the Rfam family "Bacterial small subunit ribosomal RNA", at positions 28 to 507 of the family's 1533-position model. The record is from RNAcentral.